CACGCUGUAAACGAUGAAUACUAGGUGUAGGGGGUAUCGACUCCCCCUGUGCCGGAGCAAACGCAAUAAGUAUUCCGCCUGGGGAGUACGGCCGCAAGGUUGAAACUCAAAGGAAUUGACGGGGGCCCGCACAAGCAGCGGAGCAUGUGGUUUAAUUCGAAGCAACGCGAAGAACCUUACCAGGUCUUGACAUCCAAUUAAAACUGAUGAAAGUCAGUGUGCCCUUAUGGGCGAAUUGAGACAGGUGG
This 248-nucleotide ribosomal RNA is filed under the name uncultured Eubacteriales bacterium. RNAcentral's name for it is "uncultured Clostridiales bacterium partial 16S ribosomal RNA". It matches the Rfam family "Bacterial small subunit ribosomal RNA", at positions 796 to 1041 of the family's 1533-position model. The record is from RNAcentral. Lineage: Bacteria; Bacillati; Bacillota; Clostridia; Eubacteriales.